This 253-nucleotide ribosomal RNA is filed under the name uncultured bacterium. Its description in RNAcentral is "partial 16S ribosomal RNA". It matches the Rfam family "Bacterial small subunit ribosomal RNA", at positions 524 to 776 of the family's 1533-position model. The record is from RNAcentral.
UACGAAGGGGGCUAGCGUUGUUCGGAUUUACUGGGCGUAAAGCGCACGUAGGCGGACUAUUAAGUCAGGGGUGAAAUCCCGGGGCUCAACCCCGGAACUGCCUUUGAUACUGGUAGUCUUGAGUUCGAGAGAGGUGAGUGGAAUUCCGAGUGUAGAGGUGAAAUUCGUAGAUAUUCGGAGGAACACCAGUGGCGAAGGCGGCUCGCUGGUCCAUUACUGACGCUGAGGUGCGAAAGCGUGGGGAGCAAACAGG